This 60-nucleotide microRNA precursor is filed under the name Ptychodera flava. RNAcentral's name for it is "Pfl-Mir-4830-P8_pre stem-loop". The record is from RNAcentral. Lineage: Eukaryota; Metazoa; Hemichordata; Enteropneusta; Ptychoderidae.
UCUCUUGAGAGCCAUAUGGAGGAGUUCAUUAAUAAAUUCUCCAUGUGGUCUCAAUAGACC